This 377-nucleotide ribosomal RNA is filed under the name Actinomyces sp. oral taxon 171. RNAcentral describes it as "bacterial SSU rRNA". It matches the Rfam family "Bacterial small subunit ribosomal RNA", at positions 28 to 383 of the family's 1533-position model. Lineage: Bacteria; Bacillati; Actinomycetota; Actinomycetes; Actinomycetales; Actinomycetaceae. The record is from RNAcentral.
GACGAACGCUGGCGGCGUGCUUAACACAUGCAAGUCGAACGGUGAAGCGCUUUCCUUUUUGGUUGGUGUGGAUGAGUGGCGAACGGGUGAGUAACACGUGAGUAACCUGCCCCCUUCUUCUGGAUAACCGCAUGAAAGUGUGGCUAAUACGGGAUAUUCUGCGCCUGCUGCAUGGUGGGUGUGGGAAAGAUUGUGCCUUUGGGUGUUUUCGGUGGGGGAUGGGCUCGCGGCGUAUCAGCUUGUUGGUGGGGUGAUGGCCUACCAAGGCGGUGACGGGUAGCCGACCUGAGAGGGUGGACGGUCACACUGGGACUGAGACACGGCCCAGACUCCUACGGGAGGCAGCAGUGGGGAAUAUUGCACAAUGGGCGCAAGCC